This 502-nucleotide ribosomal RNA is filed under the name uncultured bacterium. RNAcentral describes it as "partial 16S ribosomal RNA". It matches the Rfam family "Bacterial small subunit ribosomal RNA", at positions 29 to 523 of the family's 1533-position model. The record is from RNAcentral.
AACGAACGCUGGCGGCACGUUUUAAGCAUGCAAGUCGAAUGGCAGCAGGGGCAACUCUGUGAGAAUGGCGAACGGGUGAGUAACACGUAGGUGAUCUGCCUUGAGGAUGGGGAUAGCCUGUGGAAACACAGGGUAAUACCGAAUGAGCUGACGAGACUUUGGUUUUGUUAGUAAAGGUGCUACGGCACCGCCUUGAGAGGAGCCUGCGGCUGAUUAGCUAGUUGGUGGGGUAGAGCUUACCAAGGCGACGAUCAGUAGCCGGCCUGAGAGGGUGUACGGCCACACUGGAACUGAGACACGGUCCAGACUCCUACGGGAGGCAGCAGCUAAGAAUCUUCCGCAAUGGGCGAAAGCCUGACGGAGCGAUGCCGCGUGAUCGAUGAAGGUCGAGAGAUUGUAAAGAUCUUUUCUACAUGAGGAAUAAGUCUGGGAGGGAAUGCCCGGAUGAUGACGUUAGUGUAGGAAUAAGCCCCGGCUAAUUACGUGCCAGCCGCCGCGGUAA